CCUACGGGUGGCUGUAGUGGGGGAUAUUGCACAAUGGGGGGAACCCUGAUGCAGCGACGCCGCGUGGGUGAAGGAGUGCUUCGGCAUGUAAAGCCCUAUCGGCAGGGAAGAAGCAAGACGGUACCUGACUAAGAAGCCCCGGCUAACUACGUGCCAGCAGCCGCGGUAAUACGUAGGGGGCGAGCGUUAUCCGGAUUCACUGGGUGUAAAGGGAGCGUAGACGGCCACGCAAGUCUGGAGUGAAAGGCCGGGGCCCAACCCCGGAACUGCUCUGGAAACUGGGAAGCUGGAGUGCAGGAGAGGUAAGCGGAAUUCCUGGUGUAGCGGUGAAAUGCGUAGAUAUCAGGAGGAACACCGGCGGCGAAGGCGGCUUACUGGACUGUAACUGACGUUGAGGCUCGAAGGCGUGGGGAGCAAACAGGAUUAGAUACCCUUGUAGUC
RNAcentral lists this ribosomal RNA (441 nucleotides) under uncultured bacterium. RNAcentral describes it as "partial 16S ribosomal RNA". It matches the Rfam family "Bacterial small subunit ribosomal RNA", at positions 338 to 795 of the family's 1533-position model. The record is from RNAcentral.